Long non-coding RNA from Passer domesticus (house sparrow), 899 nucleotides. RefSeq lists it as uncharacterized. The record is from RefSeq and is a predicted model, not a curated record. The transcript has 6 exons. Lineage: Eukaryota; Metazoa; Chordata; Aves; Passeriformes; Passeridae.
AUCUGAAGGUGAGAAUGCAGCAGGCUCUCACUAUUCUUUGUCACCCAUGCACCUGAAAAACCCUUGCACUUAAAUAUCUGGUAGUUUUCAUAUCUUUAAGCAAAAGAGGAUACCUGGAAAUGAGUUGACUGCGUGAAUUAUCAUGGGAUUAGGGGGAGUGUGGAUCAGUUUUCAUCUGUUGAUUGUGGAAGGACUCCAAAAGAAGUCAGGGGAGGAAUAUUGGGCUGAUUUUUGGUCUCUUCACAUGGAUUUUCCCAAGUUGCACUAGCCCAUCUUGGAGAGGCAGAGAAGAAUAGAAAGUCACUUGAAAUUGGCCACUUCCCAAACCAGCCACCUCGUCCUGUCCUUGGCACACUGAGUCCCUGAAGACUCCUGAAUUCUGCCCAUGUGGGUGACAGCAGUGCAAUUCAAGGAAGGAGAAUCUGGCUGCUGUUCUGAAGCCUCAAACAGAUUUAGGACCCUGUGGCAGGUCAUGGUUAGAGGCGGAGAUUCUUCACCUCCUUCCCACCAAGCUCCGUUUGUCUCUGUUGUUGCAAGAGCUGUCUGCAUGUGGCUUUGAUCAGCCCAGGGCAGUUCUUGGCCUCCUCCCACAUGGGUCACUCCUGCAGUCCUCUGCUGCCCAAACCCUGCCAGUGAUGCCCAGUACAAGUAUUCCCAGUGAGGAAUGUCACCUACCAUUGGAACAUGAGUUACCAGGAAACACAGAGCAUGAUCACGUCAGGAGCCCUCAAGGAGCCAGUGCUCACACAACCUGCAGAUCCUCUGCCAGCAGGUAUGUGAAGGGAAACACAAGGCAACUUAAGAAAACUCAUUUGCAGGGCUUUAAAUCAAUGCAACUCAUCAAAAUCCUCCAACAAAAAAAAACCUUUUAAAAUGAAAAUAAAAAGAAUAUGACCUUA